RNAcentral lists this RNase P RNA (366 nucleotides) under Halomonas fontilapidosi. Its description in RNAcentral is "RNase P class A". It matches the Rfam family "Bacterial RNase P class A". From Rfam's summary of the family: Ribonuclease P (RNase P) is a ubiquitous endoribonuclease, found in archaea, bacteria and eukarya as well as chloroplasts and mitochondria. Its best characterised activity is the generation of mature 5'-ends of tRNAs by cleaving the 5'-leader elements of precursor-tRNAs. Cellular RNase Ps are ribonucleoproteins. The record is from RNAcentral. Lineage: Bacteria; Pseudomonadati; Pseudomonadota; Gammaproteobacteria; Oceanospirillales; Halomonadaceae.
GGAGUUGGCCAGACAGUCGCCGCCGCCUCCGGCCCUCGGGCCGGAGCGGGGGAGGAAAGUCCGGGCUCCACAGGGCAGAGUGCCAGGUAACGCCUGGGCGGCGUGAGCCGACGGAAAGUGCAGCAGAGAGCAGACCGCCCAAGUCUCCCUCGGGAGACCGGUAAGGGUGAAAGGGUGCGGUAAGAGCGCACCGCACGCCUGGUAACAGUGCGUGGCAAGGUAAACCCCACUCGGAGCAAGACCAAAUAGGAACCCCAUGACGUGGCCCGCGUCGGGUUCGGGUAGGUCGCUUGAGGGCCCUGGUAACAUGGCCCCUAGAGGAAUGACUGUCCGCGACAGAACCCGGCUUAUCGGCCGACUCCCUUA